Molecule: long non-coding RNA, 159 nt
Organism: Scomber japonicus (chub mackerel)
Lineage: Eukaryota; Metazoa; Chordata; Actinopteri; Scombriformes; Scombridae
Exons: 3
Source: RefSeq, a predicted model, not a curated record
CUGACACUUCGACAUACGGAGCCAGGACACUUUGACAGCAGCUCUUUAUUUUGAGUACGACUCAAAAACACACAAUGAAACGCUCGAUAGUUUGGUCUGGAUGCUUGCUGCUCGUUUGGACACUGACUGCAUUUGUCAGUUGUGAACCAGCAAAAGAAG